UUAGAGUUUGAUCCUGGCUCAGGAUGAACGCUAGCGGCAGGCUUAACACAUGCAAGUCGAGGGGCAGCGAGAUCAGUGCUUGCACUGAUUGUCGGCGACCGGCGCACGGGUGCGUAACGCGUAUGCAACCUACCCAUUACAGGGGGAUAACACUGAGAAAUCGGUACUAAUACCCCAUAACAUCCAGGGAGGCAUCUUCUUGGGUUGAAAACUCCGGUGGUAAUGGAUGGGCAUGCGUUGUAUUAGUUAGUUGGUGGGGUAACGGCUCACCAAGACAACGAUACAUAGGGGGACUGAGAGGUUAACCCCCCACAUUGGUACUGAGACACGGACCAAACUCCUACGGGAGGCAGCAGUGAGGAAUAUUGGUCAAUGGACGCAAGUCUGAACCAGCCAUGCCGCGUGCAGGAAGACGGCUCUAUGAGUUGUAAACUGCUUUUGUACGAGGGUAAACGCAGAUACGCGUAUCUGUCUGAAAGUAUCGUACGAAUAAGGAUCGGCUAACUCCGUGCCAGCAGCCGCGGUAAUACGGAGGAUUCAAGCGUUAUCCGGAUUUAUUGGGUUUAAAGGGUGCGUAGGCGGUCGGAUAAGUUAGAGGCGAAAUCCCGGGGCUCAACUUCGGAAUUGCCUCUGAUACUGUUCGGCUAGAGAGUAGUUGCGGUAGGCGGAAUGUAUGGUGUAGCGGUGAAAUGCUUAGAGAUCAUACAGAACACCGAUUGCGAAGGCAGCUUACCAAGCUACUUCUGACGUUGAGGCACGAAAGCGUGGGGAGCAAACAGGAUUAGAUACCCUGGUAGUCCACGCAGUAAACGAUGAUAACUCGUUGUCGGCGAUACAGUGUCGGUGACUAAGCGAAAGCGAUAAGUUAUCCACCUGGGGAGUACGUUCGCAAGAAUGAAACUCAAAGGAAUUGACGGGGGCCCGCACAAGCGGAGGAACAUGUGGUUUAAUUCGAUGAUACGCGAGGAACCUUACCCGGGCUUGAAAGUUAGUGACGGAUCUUGAAAGAGGUCUUCCCUUCGGGGCACGAAACUAGGUGCUGCAUGGUUGUCGUCAGCUCGUGCCGUGAGGUGUCGGGUUAAGUCCCAUAACGAGCGCAACCCCUACCGUUAGUUGCCAGCAGGUCAAGCUGGGCACUCUGACGGGACUGCCGGUGUAAGCCGAGAGGAAGGUGGGGAUGACGUCAAAUCAGCACGGCCCUUACGUCCGGGGCUACACACGUGUUACAAUGGCAGGUACAGAGGGCAGCUACCCAGCGAUGGGAUGCGAAUCUCGAAAGCCUGUCUCAGUUCGGAUUGGAGGCUGAAACCCGCCUCCAUGAAGUUGGAUUCGCUAGUAAUCGCGCAUCAGCCAUGGCGCGGUGAAUACGUUCCCGGGCCUUGUACUCACCGCCCGUCAAG
This 1400-nucleotide ribosomal RNA is filed under the name uncultured bacterium. RNAcentral describes it as "bacterial SSU rRNA". It matches the Rfam family "Bacterial small subunit ribosomal RNA". The record is from RNAcentral.